GUCUGCACCAACUCGAUGUACCCCCCGAUCCACCAGGCAUGUGCAUCUGAAUGAUUAUUGAUACAUUAAGUGAAUAAUUUGAAUGCGAGAGGCCAUCAUCGUUUCAAGUUCUUCUACAUCACAUAGGUCAAACCCUGGGUUUCGGGGACUGCUGCACUUGAGUACUUUCAAUAUGCUUGGAGUUGCCUGCAGCCCAAAAUUUUUGAUGCUCAAGACAAAGGUUGAUUGUGAUGCUUAAGAAGUUUUAUGUUCUUUUAUUUUUUUUGGUAAGUAAAGCAGACUUUUUUACUUGGGAUAUUUAUUGUAUGCUUUCAAAUAUCAAAUUCUCUGGAUCUAUAACUCUUAUAUAUUAUUAUGAGUUAAACCA
This is a non-coding RNA of Musa acuminata subsp. malaccensis (wild Malaysian banana), 367 nucleotides long. The record is from RefSeq and is a predicted model, not a curated record. NCBI's taxonomy places the organism in Eukaryota, Viridiplantae, Streptophyta, Magnoliopsida, Zingiberales, Musaceae.